This is a long non-coding RNA of Manacus vitellinus (golden-collared manakin), 160 nucleotides long. RefSeq lists it as uncharacterized. The record is from RefSeq and is a predicted model, not a curated record. Lineage: Eukaryota; Metazoa; Chordata; Aves; Passeriformes; Pipridae. The transcript is spliced from 3 exons.
AGACUGUAUUUGUGUUCUUCAUUGGAAACUUGGCAUCCACAGGGGGACAAGCAAAGUCAUCAAAAGGAAUACGGAUAUAUAUAUAGUACAUCGGCUAUGCCUACCACUGAAAGCUCAGGAUCCUCUGCAUGCCCAGUCCCAAAUGAAGCAGUUAGAUCUG